AGGACAAGAUUCUGCAUGUGCUCCUGGAUGACCCUCGACAGCGAUACGAUAACGGCCUGGACCAAAACGCUGGGAGAAUAAGGAGAGGGCAAGUCUGGUGUCAGCCGCCGCGGUAAUACCAAAUCUCCAGUGGUGUGGAUGUUUAUUGGGCCUAAAACAUCCGUAGCUGGCCAGGCAAGUCCCCUGUUAAAUCCACCGAAUCAAUCGUUGGAUUGCGGGGGAUACUGCCCGGGUAGGGGAACUAAAGAGGCCGACGGUAUUUCCGGGGUAGGGGUGAAAUCCUAUAAUCCCGGGAGGACCACCAGUGGCGAAGGCUGUCGGCUAAAACGCGCCCGACGGUGAGGGAUGAAAGCUGGGGGAGCGAACCGGAUUAGAUACCCGGGUAGUCCCACCUGUAAACAAUGCAGGCUAAGUGUUUGGGCGGCCACUGCCCCUCUAGUGCCGCAGGAAACUGUUAAACCUUGCCCUGGGGAGUACCGCCGCAAGGUGAAAAUUAAAGGAAUUGGCG
This 508-nucleotide ribosomal RNA is filed under the name uncultured prokaryote. RNAcentral describes it as "bacterial SSU rRNA". It matches the Rfam family "Archaeal small subunit ribosomal RNA", at positions 370 to 870 of the family's 1478-position model. The record is from RNAcentral.